GGCAGUGUGGUGCAAUGGUUUGAGUGCUGGACUAGGACUCUGCAGACCAGGGUUCAAAUUUCUGUUCAGCCA
RNAcentral lists this transfer RNA (72 nucleotides) under Phrynosoma platyrhinos (Desert horned lizard). RNAcentral describes it as "tRNA-OTHER". Lineage: Eukaryota; Metazoa; Chordata; Lepidosauria; Squamata; Phrynosomatidae. The record is from RNAcentral.